RNAcentral lists this ribosomal RNA (404 nucleotides) under uncultured prokaryote. Its description in RNAcentral is "bacterial SSU rRNA". It matches the Rfam family "Bacterial small subunit ribosomal RNA", at positions 355 to 776 of the family's 1533-position model. The record is from RNAcentral. RNAcentral also lists the same sequence under 1 other name.
UGGGGAAUAUUGCACAAUGGGGGAAACCCUGAUGCAGCAACGCCGCGUGAGCGAUGAAGGCCUUCGGGUUGUAAAGCUCUGUCUUCGCUGACGAUAAUGACGGUAAGCGAGGAGGAAGCCACGGCUAACUACGUGCCAGCAGCCGCGGUAAUACGUAGGUGGCAAGCGUUGUCCGGAAUUACUGGGCGUAAAGGAUGCGUAGGCGGCCUCUUAAGUGGGAUGUGAAAUGCCGGGGCUUAACCCCGGAGGUGCAUUCCAUACUGGGAGGCUGGAGUGCAGGAGAGGAAAGCGGAAUUCCCAGUGUAGCGGUGAAAUGCGUAGAGAUUGGGAGGAACACCAGUGGCGAAGGCGGCUUUCUGGACUGUAACUGACGCUGAGGCAUGAAAGUGUGGGGAGCAAACAGG